AGUGAACGCUGGCGGCGUGCUUAACACAUGCAAGUCGAACGAGUAAGUGCUGUAGCAAUACAGAUUACUGCUAGUGGCAGACGGGUGAGUAAUACAUGGGAAUCUUCCUUGAAGUCUGGAAUAACUGUUGGAAACGACAGCUAAUACCGGAUGAUACCUUAGGGUCAAAGACUUAUCGCUUCGAGAUGAGCCCAUGCAAGAUUAGCUAGUUGGUAGGGUAAUGGCCUACCAAGGCGACGAUGGGUAGCUGGUCUGAGAGGAUGGUCAGCCACACUGGGACUGAGAUACGGCCCAGACUCCUACGGGAGGCAGCAGUCGAGAGGCUUCGGCAAAUGGGGGAAACCCUGACCGAGCGACGCCGCGUGAGGGAUGAAGGCCCUUGGGUUGUAAACCUCUUUUGUUCGGGAAGAAGUGCGAUCAGGUGAACAAUCUGGUCGUUUGACGGUACCGGACGAAUAAGCUCCGGCUAACUCCGUGCCAGCAGCCGCGGU
Molecule: ribosomal RNA, 491 nt
Filed under: uncultured bacterium
Lineage: Bacteria
Description: bacterial SSU rRNA
Rfam family: Bacterial small subunit ribosomal RNA
Source: RNAcentral